Non-coding RNA from Pelobates cultripes (western spadefoot toad), 630 nucleotides. Lineage: Eukaryota; Metazoa; Chordata; Amphibia; Anura; Pelobatidae. The record is from the annotation of a GenBank genome assembly.
CAAUGUGGCUAGCUGAAUGGAUUUCAGGUUGUAACCAUUUCCGUGCAAGGUGUAUGAGGUCAAACAUUUGGGAACGUGCAGCUUUGUCUGAAGAAUAUGACCAUGAGUGGAACCUUUGGGCACGUACUGCAGAGGUUACACCCAGUCGUGCCAAGAUUUCAGCUUUCAAUUUGCUGUAGAUACUUGCAUCGGCUGGUUCUAGGUCAUAAUAUGCCUUCUGCGGCUCUCCACUUAGGAACGGUGCCAGUAUGCUUGCCCACUCACCAGCCGGCCAUCCCUCCCUCUCAGCAGUGCGCUCAAAUGCCAGAAGGUACGCCUCAACAUCAUCUGAUGCGGUCAUUUUCUGAAGAUAGUGGCUCGCCCGAAUCACCUUUGGCCCCUGGUAUCUUCCAUCAGGGUCUCCAUUCAGUUUUUCAGAGAUAGCUUGGAUUUCCUGUUGUAGUCCCUGGGUGACUUUUUUCUGCUCCUCACGGGCUACUUUAAACAUCUCCGCUUGUGUCACAACAAGCUGUUUCACCAAGGACUCAGUGCACUCCAUUUGUGUUUUGGCCAGGACUUUAGCACACUCUGCCUGGGCCAGCACCAGUUGCUGCAGGGCUGCACUGUUUUCUGCAGCUCUCCUGUUAGUCU